UUUUUUGACAAUGGAAAGUGUUAAUGCUCCACUCAGACUGAGUCUUCUCAGCAUUUCUUUGCAAAAUUGAGACAUAAGGCACAGCACUAGUUCCAGAGUUGCAGUCUCUGCACAGCUGGAGUCCUCAGCUAAUUGUGCCAACUUGGCAAAAAGCACACAGCGCUAACCCACAGACCAAAAGCUUACCUGACCAAGAAGGAGCAGAAAGUGUUUUCUAAUCAAGGUACAAGAUACUCCGGACUGGAAAUAGAAAGAGAUGAAAAGAAAACAUUGAGACAGUAAGGCACUCAGCUUUGAUCAAAAUUUUAUCUAUUGUAUUCUACAGUGCCUCUGUAACAUCAUAUAGAAAAAUGCAGUAUCUUUGUAUACAAGACAUCAUUGUCAUUUAUACAUUUGUUUGUAAAUAAACACAGAAAUCCAGCAUCAAAUAAUCCAUCUUAAUUCAGUGGAGUCUCUCUGGGUUAGGAUGCUUUGAUUUUUAUUGAGAUCUGAAAAUCAGUGUUUGCCUACCACCUCUUUCCAUACCUAUUGUUUGCUGAAUUAAUUAGCACACGUUUCAGAGAUUUAGCAGAUUCAGCUCCCUACCCCAAAUAUCUCUGAAAGUUUUGCCUGAGGUCAGAAACCGUAAAUUGUGGGUAUUUAGUGGAAUUUCAGAAAUACUAUGUUGAAAAAUACAAGUGAUGGAGAUGACCCCUCUCCUUUAAUACAGACAUCCCACGCUUACAAGAGUACAUCCUGUGCCACUUUCACUCUGAAAGCCACAUUUUGAACUCUUCUUUCACAACAAGCUCCUGAGGAAGAAUAGGCAAAAAAGAAAACCAUACAACUGGAACAUCCCUAAAAAUGAAAGCCCAGCAGUUCCCAACUGCCUGGAAUGAACAACAAAACCCAGUGUGCCAUGACGAAGUCUUGAAUAGUCUUCAGGGGAAGCCAAAGAACAUCUUCCCUGCUUUGCUACACACUCAGCCAUGCUCGGGACUGCAAAGAAAUGCCAGGAAUGCACCUGCACACAUUCAAGAAGCACAUGCAAAGGCUACAAGAAGCACUGAAAUGUUUCUCCAUGCAGAGACUGAGCACGGUAAUGCCACAUCUGUAUGCAAGUGCGUGGUAUGGCCAUGGGGCUCUUGGCACAGUUCCUGAUGCAUUAUGGUGCUAGCCAGUGGCUAACAGGAACAAUUCAAAACUAUUGCACCAGCAAAGAAUUUGCAACAGACUGAAAACCAGCCACCUACUCCCUGCUGUCCAGGAACAUCUUCAAAUAGAUACAGCAGACAUAGAAUGUUUGUUGAAAAUAAAUGUCUAAGGACAAGAAUUCCUAGUGUUUUUUUGGGUGCUUAUCUCCCUUAUUUAAGAAGAAAAUUCCCUUUGAGCUUCAUGCAACCACAUUUUCCAGUUCAAAAGUGAAUCACGAGUUCUUGUGAGUUCCUUCUAUUUCCAGCUCCAGGGAUAAGCACAAAUCCUUCUCUGGCUCUGUCUUCUGCCCACAUUUCAGGAGGGGCAGCAGUCCUGGAGCACUGCAUAUUCUGCCCAAAAACUCAGGCCUUGUGCACCCAGACACAACUUCCAAAUGAGAGCCUUGGGAAAAAAUAAGUGCAGGGAGAUGAGGCUGAGUUGUGGUGGUUUUUAGUAAGAGAAACAGAGGCGAGGGUACCUAAUUGCACAUUCCCAAGAGUGAUUGAUGCUGCAUGUGUGCCCACAAACACUGUGGAAACAUGUUGUUGUUCUGCAGGGUUACAAAGAAUGAACUUAGUACACAUUAGUCACCAAAAAAAGAAAGUGAUUGCUUUUUCAGUGUUUUGUUUCUAUGGUGUUGGAUGGAAACUGAGACUAUGUCUUUGAUGCUCUAUGAGUGCAAAGUAGCAGGGAGAUCACAAAUCAAGCAUCACUUUCCCAGACGGAAGGAAAGGCUUGCCCUGGAGACACGGGUGGUGCCUGGAUGAGAUGCACUUCUCCCAAACCUAUGUGGGAAGCAUUCAACGAGCAGAACUUUAAACCAAUUAAAAAGGAUCUGGUGAAAGUUUGUGCACAUAUAUCAAAGAAAUUUGGAGAUCCAGUUUACUAAAUCGGCUUUGCUAUCCUGAGCAUUAAAAUACUGAGCCCCAACUCUUAAAAAUCAUCAAUACCCUCAGCAAUUCAUUUUCAAAUAUGUUAGUAAUCUAGAUUUUGUUUGAAUUUGCCUUCCAGCCAUUCUAUUUUUCAAGCUCAGCUUUCCCAACUAGUGUUCUCUGCAAUCAAAAUUAGUAAUAUGCUUUAAAAGAAUGAGGCAUACGUAAAAUCAGGAUGUCCACUGAAGUGAAAGUGCCCACUUCUGAAGGAUGGCACCAUGCACAGUGAAGUGUGCACUGGAGUCCCAUUCCAUUCUCAUCAAGGUUCAAAGCAAGUCUCAUUAUGUGACCUUCCAAAACAGAAGUCAACAAAGAGCCAACAGACUGACCAACACACUCCAAACCAGUGCAAAGAAAAAGAAAUAGAUAUUGAAAACUGAUUAAGUAUGAGGUGUGAGACUCAGUAUUCUGACAAUGCAGCAAGAUCAUUGUUUUUGAGAUAGAGGAACUCUAACAUUCAAAGAGUGUUUUUUGUCACAAGCACCCUUAGCAGAAAGCUUGCAUCUAGUUGCAGAAGAGGCUGUAGUCUCUGCUCCAGUGAUAGAAUACACAUAACCGUAUAAAUAUAAGGAACAUGAAUAUAUAAGCACAGUAAAAUCUGAUGGCUUGAACCACUCUGAGACAAACCAUUAAAUACCAGAAAUGUCAUUUUAUCAAACUGACACUAGUUUGCACUGAAGCAGUGAAAAAAGGAAUGUAGUAAACUGUGCUCCUAUGGUUUGCAGAAUCAUAGAAUCACACUGCUUUAUAUUGUUGUAUUAAAUAUAACUUAAUGUUAAAACUGAAUUAAAGCGUACUUAAUGUUUAAUUUUGCUAUUUAUAUUUUCUUCUGGACAGUUCUUACUCAGCUUGUGGUAUGUAUCAGUGUGACAGCACUUGUCAGAUGCAUCAUUGAUCUGCCUGAUAUUUUACAGGUGAUAAGAAGUAUUUCUGAGUUCAUUUGUUUGGGAAAAGGGGAUGUAGAAAUGUAUGUACAUGUGUGACUUCAUAUGUAUAUGCAUGUAUACAUAAAUAUGUAGUUAUACAUUGUGACUAACAAAUUAUUUUGUCUGAAGAUGGUAAUGCCAGCUAAAAAUUUAGAGGUUUGUGAUCUUAAUUUUCUAAGGCAAAUCUUUGCUAAGAUCCAAUGCUACCAGGAAAAAUCUAACAGACUAUCAGACAAUCAAAAAAAGAUACAGAGCCUCUGUACUUGAAGAGUAAAUACAUUACACCACCUCUCAACAUGAAUACGCAGUAUGAAACGUGAUGAUAUUUUGCUUUAAAGUAUAAUAAUUGGAAAAAAAUUAAAAAGAAAUGAAAAUUUCUGGUGAUUUAUCC
This is a long non-coding RNA of Meleagris gallopavo (turkey), 3422 nucleotides long. NCBI's taxonomy places the organism in Eukaryota, Metazoa, Chordata, Aves, Galliformes, Phasianidae. The record is from Ensembl.